GCUGAAUAUACCGGUUCUCGUUAAAUCACCGAAGUCAAGCAUCAUUGGGCGUGGUCAGUACUUGGGUGGGUGACCAUCUGGGAUCACCGCGUGCCGUU
RNAcentral lists this ribosomal RNA (98 nucleotides) under Caerostris darwini. Lineage: Eukaryota; Metazoa; Arthropoda; Arachnida; Araneae; Araneidae. The record is from RNAcentral.